Molecule: ribosomal RNA, 468 nt
Filed under: uncultured bacterium
Lineage: Bacteria
Description: partial 16S ribosomal RNA
Rfam family: Bacterial small subunit ribosomal RNA
Source: RNAcentral
GACGAACGCUGGCGGCGUGCUUAACACAUGCAAGUCGAACGGAAAGGCCCUGCUUUUGUGGGGUGCUCGAGUGGCGAACGGGUGAGUAACACGUGAGUAACCUGCCCUUGACUUUGGGAUAACUUCAGGAAACUGGGGCUAAUACCGGAUAGGAGCUCCUGCAGCAUGGUGGGGGUUGGAAAGUUUCGGCGGUUGGGGAUGGACUCGCGGCUUAUCAGCUUGUUGGUGGGGUAGUGGCUUACCAAGGCUUUGACGGGUAGCCGGCCUGAGGGGGUGACCGGCCACAUUGGGACUGAGAUACGGCCCAGACUCCUACGGGAGGCAGCAGUGGGGAAUAUUGCACAAUGGGCGGAAGCCUGAUGCAGCAACGCCGCGUGCGGGAUGACGGCCUUCGGGUUGUAAACCGCUUUCGCCUGUGACGAAGCGUGAGUGACGGUAAUGGGUAAAGAAGCACCGGCUAACUACGUG